This 361-nucleotide unclassified non-coding RNA is filed under the name fungal sp. RNAcentral describes it as "partial contains small subunit ribosomal RNA, internal transcribed spacer 1, and 5.8S ribosomal RNA". RNAcentral also lists the same sequence under 1 other name. The record is from RNAcentral. Lineage: Eukaryota; Fungi.
UUUCCGUAGGUGAACCUGCGGAAGGAUCAUUGACACUUUUAUUUAUCCACAAUCCAACAACCCCGUUGAACUGUCUGGCACGCUGAGGUACGGAGCGAAAGGCUAUGUGGUGAGGAAAACCGUUAUGUCCGUGAGGGCAUAGUUCGGCUUCUCGUCUUCGUUUCCGCUCGGGGAAAGGCGCUUCAGCGUUCUUUUUUUCCGAAGCUUCAGCGCGUCGCAUCACCAUGUGACUUUAACCACUAUGAAUUUAUGACUAAACAAAAAUGUUCAAAUUCUCUUUGUUUUGUUUACAAAACAAAGGUGUGUUUGACUUUACUUACGAAACUCAGAACAACUCUUAGCAACGGAUAUCUUGGUUUCC